Molecule: ribosomal RNA, 423 nt
Filed under: uncultured bacterium
Lineage: Bacteria
Description: bacterial SSU rRNA
Rfam family: Bacterial small subunit ribosomal RNA
Source: RNAcentral
GGAAUAUUGGACAAUGGGCGAAAGCCUGAUCCAGCCAUGCCGCGUGUGUGAAGAAGGUCUUCGGAUUGUAAAGCACUUUAAGUUGGGAGGAAGGGUAGUAACUUAAUACGUUGCUAUUUUGACGUUACCGACAGAAGAAGCACCGGCUAACUCCGUGCCAGCAGCCGCGGUAAUACGUAGGGUGCAAGCGUUAAUCGGAAUUACUGGGCGUAAGGCGCGCGUAGGCGGUUUGGUAAGUCGGUUGUGAAAGCCCCGGGCUUAACCUGGGAAUUGCAGUCGAUACUGCCUGACUAGAGUAUGGUAGAGGGAAGUGGAAUUUCCGGUGUAGCGGUGAAAUGCGUAGAUAUCGGAAGGAACACCAGUGGCGAAGGCGACUUCCUGGGCCAAUACUGACGCUGAGGUGCGAAAGCGUGGGGAGCAAAC